Molecule: signal recognition particle RNA, 250 nt
Filed under: bovine gut metagenome
Description: Bacterial large signal recognition particle RNA
Rfam family: Bacterial large signal recognition particle RNA
About the family: The signal recognition particle (SRP) is a universally conserved ribonucleoprotein involved in the co-translational targeting of proteins to membranes. Archaeal SRP consists of a 7S RNA and homologues of the eukaryotic SRP19 and SRP54 proteins.
Source: RNAcentral
CCGUGCUAUGCGGGGAGUUAGCGAUGCCCUGUAUCCGCAAUUCGCUUUAGCGGAGCAGAAUAUCUUUUUAGGCUUGUCGCGUGGAGGGCUGCGCUUUAUAAGGGGCGUUGAUAUCAAGGUCUUAUGCAAUGCGCUGUCGCAAAACGUGUCAGGGUAGGAAUACAGCAGCACUAAACGAAUUUGACGCAUGUGCCAUAAGGUUGCUUUGAAGGAGUUACCUGUAAAGUUACCGCUUCGGCGCGAUUUGUCG